CACGUAGUUGGCCGGCGCUUCUUCUGCAGGUACCGUCACUCUCGCUUCGUCCCUGCUGAAAGAGGUUUACAACCCGAAGGCCGUCAUCCCUCACGCGGCGUCGCUGCAUCAGGCUUCCGCCCAUUGUGCAAUAUUCCCCACUGCUGCCUCCCGUAGGAGUCUGGGCCGUGUCUCAGUCCCAGUGUGGCCGGUCGCCCUCUCAGGCCGGCUACCCGUCGUCGCCUUGGUAGGCCAUUACCCCACCAACAAGCUGAUAGGCCGCGAGUCCAUCCCCAGCCGAAAAAUCUUUCCACACACACAUCAUGCAAUGGUGUGUCGUAUUCGGUAUUAGCCCCCGUUUCGAGGGUUAUCCCAAAGCUGAGGGCAGGUUACUCACGUGUUACUCACCCGUUCGCCGCUCGAGUACCCCGAAGGGCCUUUCCGCUCGACUUGCAUGUGUUAAGCACGCCGCCAGCGUUCGUCCUGACGCCAGGACUCGAAACUCU
This 485-nucleotide ribosomal RNA is filed under the name uncultured Micromonosporaceae bacterium. Its description in RNAcentral is "partial 16S ribosomal RNA". The record is from RNAcentral. Lineage: Bacteria; Bacillati; Actinomycetota; Actinomycetes; Micromonosporales; Micromonosporaceae.